This 313-nucleotide ribosomal RNA is filed under the name Pharaxonotha sp. D0238. RNAcentral's name for it is "partial 16S large subunit ribosomal RNA". The stretch from base 178 to 313 matches the Rfam family "Bacterial large subunit ribosomal RNA", at positions 2473 to 2608 of the family's 2925-position model. The record is from RNAcentral. Lineage: Eukaryota; Metazoa; Arthropoda; Insecta; Coleoptera; Erotylidae.
GACCCUAUAGAGUUUAAUAUUUCAUUAAUAAAUUAUUUUUUAGAAUUUAAUAUUAAUUUAUUAAUUAAAUAUUUGAUUGGGGUGAUUAAAAAAUUUAAGUAACUUUUUUUAUAUCGAAACAUUAAUUUAUGAUUGCUUGAUCCAUUUUUUAUGAUUAUAAGAUUAAAUUACCUUAGGGAUAACAGCGUAAUUUUUUUUAAGAGUUCAAAUCGAAAAAAAAGAUUGCGACCUCGAUGUUGGAUUAAAAUUUAUUUUUGGUGUAGAAGCUAAAUUUAUUGGGUCUGUUCGACCUUUAAAAUUUUACAUGAUCUGA